AUUGAACGCUGGCGGCAGGCUUAACACAUGCAAGUCGAGCGAGCGGCGGACGGGUGAGUAAUGUCUGGGAAACUGCCUUAUGGAGGGGGAUAACUACGGGAAACGGUAGCUAAUACCGCAUACCAUCAGAUGUGCCCAGAUGGGAUUGGCUAGUAGGUGGGGGAAUGGCUCACCAAGGCGACGAUCCCUAGCUGGUCUGAGAGGAUGACCAGCCACACGGGAACUGAGAAACGGUCCAGACUCCUACGGGAGGCAGCAGUGGGGAAUAUUGCACAAUGGGCGCAAGCCUGACGCAGCCACGCCGCGUGUGUGAAGAAGGUCUUCGGGUUGUAAAGCACUUUCAGCGGGGAGGCGUUACCUGCAGAGGAAGCACCGGCUAACUCCGUGCCAGCAGCCGCGGUAAUUC
This 406-nucleotide ribosomal RNA is filed under the name uncultured bacterium. Its description in RNAcentral is "partial 16S ribosomal RNA". It matches the Rfam family "Bacterial small subunit ribosomal RNA", at positions 30 to 526 of the family's 1533-position model. The record is from RNAcentral.